GCCCCAUGGGGCGCAGCAGGCGAGAAAACUUUGCAAUGUGCGAAAGCACGACAAGGUUAAUCCGAGUGGUUUCUGCUAAAGGAACCUUUUGUCGGUCCUAGAAACACCGAUGAAUAAGGGGUGGGCAAGUUCUGGUGUCAGCCGCCGCGGUAAAACCAGCACCUCAAGUGGUCAGGAUGAUUACUGCGCCUAAAGCAUCCGUAGCCGGCGCUGUAAGUUUUCGGUUAAAUCUGUACGCUCAACGUACAGGCUGCCGGGAAUACUGCAGCGCUAGGGAGUGGGAGAGGUAGACGGUACUCGGUAGGAAGGGGUAAAAUCCUUUGAUCUAUUGAUGACCACCUGUGGCGAAGGCGGUCUACCAGAACACGUCCGACGGUGAGGGAUGAAAGCUGGGGGAGCAAACCGGAUUAGAUACCCGGGUAGUCCCAGCUGUAAACUAUGCAAACUCAGUGAUGCAUUGGCUUGUGGCCCAUGCAGUGCUGCAGGGAAGACGUUAAG
RNAcentral lists this ribosomal RNA (498 nucleotides) under uncultured crenarchaeote. RNAcentral's name for it is "bacterial SSU rRNA". It matches the Rfam family "Archaeal small subunit ribosomal RNA", at positions 319 to 819 of the family's 1478-position model. Lineage: Archaea; Thermoproteati; Thermoproteota. The record is from RNAcentral.